CCUACGGGGGGCAGCAGUGAGGAAUAUUGGUCAAUGGACGAGAGUCUGAACCAGCCAAGUAGCGUGAAGGAUGACUGCCCUAUGGGUUGUAAACUUCUUUUAUCUGGGAAUAAAAUGUUCCACGUGUGGGAUUUUGUAUGUACCUUAUGAAUAAGGAUCGGCUAACUCCGUGCCAGCAGCCGCGGUAAUACGGAGGAUCCGAGCGUUAUCCGGAUUUAUUGGGUUUAAAGGGAGCGUAGGUGGAUUGUUAAGUCAGUUGUGAAAGUUUGCGGCUCAACCGUAAAAUUGCAGUUGAAACUGGCAGUCUUGAGUACAGUAGAGGUGGGCGGAAUGCGUGGUGUAGCGGUGAAAUGCUUAGAUAUCACGAAGAACUCCGAUUGCGAAGGCAGUUCACUGGACUGCAACUGACACUGAGGCUCGAAAGUGUGGGUAUCAAACAGGAUUAGAUACCCUGGUAGUC
RNAcentral lists this ribosomal RNA (460 nucleotides) under uncultured bacterium. Its description in RNAcentral is "partial 16S ribosomal RNA". It matches the Rfam family "Bacterial small subunit ribosomal RNA", at positions 338 to 795 of the family's 1533-position model. The record is from RNAcentral.